This 72-nucleotide transfer RNA is filed under the name bovine gut metagenome. It matches the Rfam family "tRNA". Rfam says of the family: Transfer RNA (tRNA) molecules are approximately 80 nucleotides in length. Their secondary structure includes four short double-helical elements and three loops (D, anti-codon, and T loops). The record is from RNAcentral.
GAGGCAUAGCUCAGCUGGUUAGAGCACCUGCCUUACAAGCAGGGGGUCACUGGUUCGAGUCCAGUUGUCUCC